AGUAAAUAUAAGUAGAUUUUUUCCACCACAGAAUUAUUGUUAUUAUUCUAAUUAUUAUAAUUAAUGUAGCUUGUUAUGAGCAUGUUAGCAUGUUACUCUGAGUGUAUUAUUGUAAACAUGUUAGCAUGUUAUGGUGAACAAAUUAUCAUAAGUGUGUUACUUUGACCAAGUUAGCAUGCUACCAUGAGUGUUUCGGUACUUUAGUGUUAGAAUGUUAGCGCUUUAUUGUUUAGAAUGUUUGCAAUCUAUUGUGAGCAUGUUUACAUGUUAGUGUCAGCAUGUUAGCCCUUUAAUGCUAGCAUGUUAGCCCUUUAUUGUUUAGAAUGUUAGCAUGUUACUGUGAGCAUGUUUACAUGUUAGUGUCAGCAUGUUAGCCCUUUAAUGCUAGCAUGUUAGCGCUUUGUUUAGCACUUUGAGAAAGCUAGCAUGUAAACUGUGAGCAUGUUUACGUUAGUGUCAGCGUAUUAGCCCUUUAAUGCUAGCAUGUUAGCGCUUUGUUUAGCACUUGCAUGUAAACUGUGAGCAUGUUCCACUUUCUUGUUUCUGUAAGCAUAUUAGCAUUUUACUGUCAGUGUACACAUGUGUUCUGUCUACAAAUGAUCGACAUGACAGUAAACCUGAGCUCCGUCUGACAAGUUUGUGCUGCAAUAAUUGCCCUUAAUAAGAACACAGACUGCCUUUUGUUCAAUAAAGACUCUAUCUAUCUA
Stegastes partitus (bicolor damselfish) is the source of this 707-nucleotide long non-coding RNA. RefSeq lists it as uncharacterized. The transcript has 2 exons. NCBI's taxonomy places the organism in Eukaryota, Metazoa, Chordata, Actinopteri, Pomacentridae. The record is from RefSeq and is a predicted model, not a curated record.